ACAUCCUCCUUAGGGAGAACAGAAGGGUUUGCAGAGCAUUGUGAAGCAGCAGGCAACAGCACUGUGUGAACCCUGCAGCAAGCAGAAACCCCUCUGGAUCCUCUAUUUAUCUUUUAUUUGUCUUGAAGUUCUGGCAGCAGCUCAGUUCCUUCUAAAUGGGGACCACAAGAGUACUAUGCCUUUUGCAUCAUGCAGAAAUGAGAAAGAAAAUAAAAUCUACUGGCAAUACAUAUAUUAAUAUAUCAACAACUGAAAGGAUUGUAAUCAGUGAAGGAGGAUGAUACAUGAACCUUUAGAGAACUGGAGUCCAAGAUGAAGGCUGAUGGAGUGCUACUGUGUUUGAUCAGCUCGUUUAAACCAGUAUGCAAUGUAUUCUGGUACAGCUUUGUUCUUCUGACCCGAAAGCCUCGACUCAGUCCUGGAAAGUCUGUGAUAUCCUGUUGGGUUGGAAGCAUAGUGAAAACUCUCAUUUGCUUUCACAACAGACUUGUCUUACUUGAGCUCUAUUAGAAACAUCUACAAGUAUACUGCACAGCACAGUAUCAAAUUUACAAUUCAGGGUCAUGCAGUAAAAUCAUAAUAAAAUGAUUGAUUGUGACA
Molecule: long non-coding RNA, 600 nt
Filed under: Cyanistes caeruleus (blue tit)
Lineage: Eukaryota; Metazoa; Chordata; Aves; Passeriformes; Paridae
Description: lncRNA (ENSCCEG00000011696.1)
Source: RNAcentral